Molecule: ribosomal RNA, 497 nt
Filed under: uncultured bacterium
Lineage: Bacteria
Description: partial 16S ribosomal RNA
Rfam family: Bacterial small subunit ribosomal RNA
Source: RNAcentral
GACGAACGCUGGCGGCGUGCCUAAUACAUGCAAGUCGAGCGAACGGACCAGGAGUUUGCGUGUCUGGGGUUAGCGGCCGAGGGGUGCGGAACAUGGGGUUGGCCUACCAAUAAGACUGGGAUACUUACGGGAAACAGGAGCUAAUACCGGAUAAUAUUUUGAACCGCGUGGGUCACGAGUGAAAGACGGUCUUGCUGUCACUAAAAGAUGGAUACGCGCUGCAUUCGCUGGUUGGCAAGGUAACGGCUUAGCAAGGCAACUAUGGAUAGCCGACCUGAGAGGGUGGUCGGCCACCUGGUAUCUGAGACUCGUCCCCGACUCCUACGGGAGGCAGCAGUCGGGAAUCCUCCGCAAUGGGCCAGAGCCUGACGGAGCACCGCCGCGUGAGUGAUGAAGGUCCUCGGAUCGUAAAACUCUGUUAUUAGGGAAGAACAUAUGUGUAAUUAACCGUGCACAUCUUGACGGUACCUAGUCAAAAAGCCCCGGCUAACUACGUG